RNAcentral lists this ribosomal RNA (341 nucleotides) under uncultured Gammaproteobacteria bacterium. RNAcentral describes it as "bacterial SSU rRNA". It matches the Rfam family "Bacterial small subunit ribosomal RNA", at positions 159 to 496 of the family's 1533-position model. Lineage: Bacteria; Pseudomonadati; Pseudomonadota; Gammaproteobacteria. The record is from RNAcentral.
CGAGCUAAUACCGCAUACGCCCUACGGGGGAAAGCGGGGGACCUUCGGGCCUCGUGCUAUUAGAUGAGCCUGCGUUGGAUUAGCUAGUUGGUGGGGUAAAGGCCUACCAAGGCGACGAUCCAUAGCUGGUCUGAGAGGAUGAUCAGCCACACCGGGACUGAGACACGGCCCGGACUCCUACGGGAGGCAGCAGUGGGGAAUAUUGCGCAAUGGGCGAAAGCCUGACGCAGCCAUGCCGCGUGUGUGAAGAAGGCCUUCGGGUUGUAAAGCACUUUCAAUUGGGAGGAAAGGUUCACGGUUAAUAACCGUGAGCUUUGACGUUACCUUAGAAGAAGCACCGG